Molecule: ribosomal RNA, 489 nt
Filed under: uncultured bacterium
Lineage: Bacteria
Description: partial 16S ribosomal RNA
Rfam family: Bacterial small subunit ribosomal RNA
Source: RNAcentral
AUUGAACGCUGGCGGCAGGCCUAACACAUGCAAGUCGAACGGUAACAGGAAGCAGCUUGCUGCUUCGCUGACGAGUGGCGGACGGGUGAGUAAUGUCUGGGAAGCUGCCUGAUGGAGGGGGAUAACUCCUGGAAACGGUAGCUAAUACCGCAUAAUGUCGCAAGACCAAAGAGGGGGACCUUCGGGCCUCUUGCCAUCGGAUGUGCCCAGAUGGGAUUAGCUUGUUGGUGGGGUAACGGCUCACCAAGGCGACGAUCCCUAGCUGGUCUGAGAGGAUGACCAGCCACACUGGAACUGAGACACGGUCCAGACUCCUACGGGAGGCAGCAGUGGGGAAUAUUGCACAAUGGGCGCAAGCCUGAUGCAGCCAUGCCGCGUGUAUGAAGAAGGCCUUCGGGUUGUAAAGUACUUUCAGCGGGGAGGAAGGGAGUAAAGUUAAUACCUUUGCUCAUGGACGUUACCCGCAGAAGAAGCACCGGCUAACUCCGU